GGCCGGUUAGCUCAGUGGUUUGAGUGCAGUGCUGACAACAAUGACCGAGGUCGCGGGUUUGAUUCCCGCUCGGUCC
This 76-nucleotide transfer RNA is filed under the name Apaloderma vittatum (bar-tailed trogon). It matches the Rfam family "tRNA". From Rfam's summary of the family: Transfer RNA (tRNA) molecules are approximately 80 nucleotides in length. Their secondary structure includes four short double-helical elements and three loops (D, anti-codon, and T loops). Further hydrogen bonds mediate the characteristic L-shaped molecular structure. tRNAs have two regions of fundamental functional importance: the anti-codon, which is responsible for specific mRNA codon recognition, and the 3' end, to which the tRNAs corresponding amino acid is attached (by aminoacyl-tRNA synthetases). tRNAs cope with the degeneracy of the genetic code in two manners: having more than one tRNA (with a specific anti-codon) for a particular amino acid; and 'wobble' base-pairing, i.e. permitting non-standard base-pairing at the 3rd anti-codon position. Lineage: Eukaryota; Metazoa; Chordata; Aves; Trogoniformes; Trogonidae. The record is from Rfam by way of RNAcentral.